AAGGAAUAUUGGUCAAUGGAGGCAACUCUGAACCAGCCAUGCCGCGUGAAGGAUUAAGGCCCUCUGGGUUGUAAACUUCUUUUAUAUGGGAAGAAAUGUACUUUUUCUAAAGUGCUUGACGGUACCAUAGGAAUAAGCACCGGCUAACUCCGUGCCAGCAGCCGCGGUAAUACGGAGGGUGCAAGCGUUAUCCGGAUUUCCUGGGUUUAAAGGGUGCGUAGGCGGAUGAAUAAGUCAGUGGUGAAAUCUCCGAGCUUAACUCGGAAACUGCCGUUGAUACUAUUUGUCUUGAAUAUUGUGGAGGUAAGCGGAAUAUGUCAUGUAGCGGUGAAAUGCUUAGAUAUGACAUAGAACACCAAUUGCGAAGGCAGCUUGCUACACAAUCAUUGACGCUGAGGCACGAAAGCGUGGGG
RNAcentral lists this ribosomal RNA (413 nucleotides) under uncultured bacterium. RNAcentral describes it as "bacterial SSU rRNA". It matches the Rfam family "Bacterial small subunit ribosomal RNA", at positions 356 to 766 of the family's 1533-position model. The record is from RNAcentral.